GACGAACGCUGGCGGCGUGCCUAAUACAUGCAAGUCGAACGCUUUUUCUUUCACCGGAGCUUGCUCCACCGAAAGAAAAAGAGUGGCGAACGGGUGAGUAACACGUGGGUAACCUGCCCAUCAGAAGGGGAUAACACUUGGAAACAGGUGCUAAUACCGUAUAACAAGUAAAACCGCAUGGUUUUACUUUGAAAGGCGCUUUUGCGUCACUGAUGGAUGGACCCGCGGUGCAUUAGCUAGUUGGUGAGGUAACGGCUCACCAAGGCAACGAUGCAUAGCCGACCUGAGAGGGUGAUCGGCCACAUUGGGACUGAGACACGGCCCAAACUCC
This 331-nucleotide ribosomal RNA is filed under the name uncultured Enterococcus sp. RNAcentral describes it as "bacterial SSU rRNA". It matches the Rfam family "Bacterial small subunit ribosomal RNA", at positions 28 to 339 of the family's 1533-position model. The record is from RNAcentral. Lineage: Bacteria; Bacillati; Bacillota; Bacilli; Lactobacillales; Enterococcaceae.